RNAcentral lists this ribosomal RNA (368 nucleotides) under uncultured bacterium. RNAcentral's name for it is "bacterial SSU rRNA". It matches the Rfam family "Bacterial small subunit ribosomal RNA", at positions 29 to 426 of the family's 1533-position model. The record is from RNAcentral.
AACGAACGCUGGCGGCAGGCUUAACACAUGCAAGUCGAGCGCCCCGCAAGGGGAGCGGCAGACGGGUGAGUAACGCGUGGGAACAUACCCUUUGGUUCGGAAUAACUCAGGGAAACUUGAGCUAAUACCGGAUACGUCCGUAAGGAGAAAGAUUUAUCGCCAAAGGAUUGGCCCGCGUCCGAUUAGCUAGUUGGUGAGGUAACGGCUCACCAAGGCUACGAUCGGUAGCUGGUCUGAGAGGAUGAUCAGCCACAUUGGGACUGAGACACGGCCCAAACUCCUACGGGAGGCAGCAGUGGGGAAUAUUGGACAAUGGGCGCAAGCCUGAUCCAGCCAUGCCGCGUGAGUGAUGAAGGCCUUAGGGUUGU